RNAcentral lists this ribosomal RNA (465 nucleotides) under Vreelandella stevensii. Its description in RNAcentral is "partial 16S ribosomal RNA". It matches the Rfam family "Bacterial small subunit ribosomal RNA", at positions 338 to 795 of the family's 1533-position model. Lineage: Bacteria; Pseudomonadati; Pseudomonadota; Gammaproteobacteria; Oceanospirillales; Halomonadaceae. The record is from RNAcentral.
CCUACGGGUGGCAGCAGUGGGGAAUAUUGGACAAUGGGGGGAACCCUGAUCCAGCCAUGCCGCGUGUGUGAAGAAGGCCCUCGGGUUGUAAAGCACUUUCAGUGAGGAAGAACGCCUGGUGGUUAAUACCCAUCAGGAAAGACAUCACUCACAGAAGAAGCUCCGGCUAACUCCGUGCCAGCAGCCGCGGUAAUACGGAGGGUGCGAGCGUUAAUCGGAAUUACUGGGCGUAAAGCGCGCGUAGGUGGCUUGAUAAGCCGGUUGUGAAAGCCCCGGGCUCAACCUGGGAACGGCAUCCGGAACUGUCAAGCUAGAGUGCAGGAGAGGAAGGUAGAAUUCCCGGUGUAGCGGUGAAAUGCGUAGAGAUCGGGAGGAAUACCAGUGGCGAAGGCGGCCUUCUGGACUGACACUGACACUGAGGUGCGAAAGCGUGGGUAGCAAACAGGAUUAGAUACCCGAGUAGUC